Molecule: long non-coding RNA, 372 nt
Organism: Oreochromis aureus
Lineage: Eukaryota; Metazoa; Chordata; Actinopteri; Cichliformes; Cichlidae
Source: Ensembl
CCCGGUCUCUCGCAAAUGCUCGCACAGAAUCGGAGUUACACCUGGAUGUGGAAAAAAUAACUGAGUUGUUUGGUGGUGCUAUAAUGCGGAGCUACAACAGUGGGCAGCUAUCCACCGGUGUAUGACAGAAAGGACAUGCCGCGACCGCCGAUCGACCGGUGUUUGCUAACGCGGAGGUCAAUCGUGGAUCAGGGAAAGCGAAGGCAGGAGCGUGAGGUGAACUGAAUUUCAGCAGGAGAAGACGAGGAAGCGGCUGUCAGAGUGGCGAGACGGGUUGUGGAAACCGAAAGUGAAGUACAACAGAGUAACUGAGGAGGCGGAGCUAGAAAACGUCAUAGGAGGAGUUUCACAAAACAGGUGACGUGUGAGAAC